Caretta caretta (loggerhead turtle) is the source of this 297-nucleotide non-coding RNA. NCBI's taxonomy places the organism in Eukaryota, Metazoa, Chordata, Testudines, Cheloniidae. The record is from the annotation of a RefSeq genome assembly.
AUGACAUCUCUGUGGCUUUUCCUUUCCCUGUUAUCGGCCCCUACCUGUGUCCUCUCUCAGGUGCAGCUGGUCGAGUCCAGCCCGGGCGUGGUGAAGCCUGGACAGACCCUCACACUGACCUGCGCUGUCUCGGGUGUCUCCAUCACUGACAGCAGCUACGCGUGGAGCUGGGUCCGGCAGUCUCCCGGGAAAGGGCUGGAGUGGGUAGUACGUAUAUAUCCGUACAACGGGAACAAGUCGUUUGCCGCGUCGCUCCAAAGCCGGACCACCAUCUCGUCGGAUACCUCCAAGAACUAG